AUGUCUGACUCCGACGAAUACGUGGACCUGCCGGUCUCGGACGAGGAAGAGGAUGAGUGGGAGGAUGGAGACGAAGCUGAGGAGGAGGAAGUGCAGGGAAGCUCUAAGAAGAAGGCCAAGCAGCACGUCGACCAACUCAAGAGGCUGCAGGAAAAGGAUCCCGAGUUCUUUAAAUAUUUGGAAGAGUGUGAUAAAGAGCUCUUGGAAUUCAAUGAUGAUGACAUUGCUGAUGAUCAAGAAAGUGACGAGGAACCUAAAUCUGUCCCUAAGGAGGAGCCAAAAGAAAGUGUUAAACCAAUUACGAUGGAAAUGGUUGAUUCCUGGUGCAAAGGGGCCGAAGAUGGGAAGAUAGGAUCUAUCAGGUCUAUUCUUCAAGCCUUCAGGAGAGCUUGCCAUUAUGGCGAGGACAGUGGGGACAAUUCAGCACCAAAAUUCAGUGUCAUGUCCGGUAGUGUACUCGACAAAGUCAUGCACUACGUUUUGAAGAACAUGGAUAGCAUCCUUCGCCAAUUACUCGGUGCCCCUAGCUCUGGAGGGAAGAAAGAGAAAAUCAGUGAGCUGAUGAUGACUAAUUCAUGGAAGAGGAAUGGCAAUCUAAUGAGGGUGUAUCUUGUCAAUGCACUCCAUAUGAUAACCGAGAUGACUGAUGACCAAAUGAUCGCAUUUACUAUUCUCCGUGUCAGAGCAUCAGCUGUUUUUCUGGCAGCCUUCCCUUCUCUCCUUAGGAAGUAUGUUAAGACCCUGUUGUAUACCUGGGCUAGAGGUCGAGGUGCCAUGCCCUUUAUUUCGUUUUUGUUCCUCCGAGACUUGUGUGUUCAAGUAGGUCCGGAUUGCCUUGACACAUGCCUCAAGGGUAUCUACAAGGCUUAUUUGGUGAACUGCAAGUUGUCCAAGUCUAUCAGCGGAUCGAAACUGCAGCACAUUCAAUUUCUUGGGAAUUGUGUCAAAGAAUUGUAUAUCUUGGACCCUCAAAGUGCUUAUCAACAUGCUUUUGUUUUCAUUCGUCAGUUGGCAGUUAUCCUAAGAGGUGCUCUUACCGAAAGAGGACCAAAGACAUCAAAGGACAAAAAGCAGAAAGAAAGAAACAAACCAACGAACAAACAGCUGGAGAAAUCCUACCAAAAAGUUUAUGAUUGUUAA
RNAcentral lists this ribosomal RNA (1140 nucleotides) under Triticum aestivum (bread wheat). RNAcentral describes it as "partial small subunit ribosomal RNA". The record is from RNAcentral. Lineage: Eukaryota; Viridiplantae; Streptophyta; Magnoliopsida; Poales; Poaceae.